Molecule: long non-coding RNA, 687 nt
Organism: Daucus carota subsp. sativus
Lineage: Eukaryota; Viridiplantae; Streptophyta; Magnoliopsida; Apiales; Apiaceae
Exons: 3
Source: RefSeq, a predicted model, not a curated record
UUACGUAUUAACCGAGACGAUUAUAUUAAUUUUAAAAUUUGGGGAUUGAUCUUGAAAAUAUUAAAUAUUUUAGUUAUUCAAUUAUUCUGUACGAUAUUAUGUUCGUGAUUAUUAAAAACCGAUACGAGAAUAAUAGAAAUCGAGAGUUUUUAAUUAUGCGAAGCGUUGCUUGGGAUGCAAGCAACAUUACUUGGUUGCGAAGUAAUGUUAAUUGGCGUCCAAGUAAUCAUAUAAUUAAUAAUUAAUAAUUAAUUAAAUGGUAAUUAAAGAGAUAAUUGUGAUUAGUAAAUAGUAUAAAAGCCAAAGGAAUAAAUCAAAUAUCACCGUUCUUGCACAAAACUAGAAAAGAGGUUCUGAGGAGAAGAGAAUCAGCAGGAGAGAUUUGGAGUCGCAGAAGGAAAACAAAUCAAAUACUAAGAAAAUUGAUUAGCUGGAAGGCGUGCUUGUUAGUCAACUUAAAUUGGAACGUGGUGCACUGGAAGAACUCUGGAGAAGGAUAUUCAUGCAAGGGUAAAAGUGUGAUGAACCGAAGUGCUAGACUUGAUUGGAUUUGCAAGUAGAAGUUUAAUAGAAGUAUUAUGUAAUCGAAAGAAAUAUUUGUGAACUUUUAGAAGAGUGAUGUAAGACUCUGAUGUAAGGUAAAAUAAGCCUUUAAGUUAUGUUAAAGUUUGAGAUUAUGAAGAUGUA